This 116-nucleotide ribosomal RNA is filed under the name Neobacillus sp. PS3-34. The record is from RNAcentral. Lineage: Bacteria; Bacillati; Bacillota; Bacilli; Caryophanales; Bacillaceae.
UCUGGCAGCAAUGGCGAGAAGGCCACACCCGUUCCCAUACCGAACACGGAAGUUAAGCUUCUCAGCGCCGAUGGUAGUUGGGACCUUGUCCCUGUGAGAGUAGGACGUUGCCAGGC